GACGAACGCUGGCGGCGUGCUUAACACAUGCAAGUCGAACGGAAAGGCCCUGCUUUUGUGGGGUGCUCGAGUGGCGAACGGGUGAGUAACACGUGAGUAACCUGCCCUUGACUUUGGGAUAACUUCAGGAAACUGGGACUAAUACCGGAUAGGAGCUCCUGCUGCAUGGUGGGGGUUGGAAAGUUUCGGCGGUUGGGGAUGGACUCGCGGCUUAUCAGCUUGUUGGUGGGGUAGUGGCUUACCAAGGCUUUGACGGGUAGCCGGCCUGAGAGGGUGACCGGCCACAUUGGGACUGAGAUACGGCCCAGACUACUACGGGAGGCAGCAGUGGGGAAUAUUGCACAAUGGGCGGAAGCCUGAUGCAGCAACGCCGCGUGCGGGAUGACGGCCUUCGGGUUGUAAACCGCUUUCGCCUGUGACGAAGCGUGAGUGACGGUAAUGGGUAAAGAAGCACCGGCUAACUACGUG
This 468-nucleotide ribosomal RNA is filed under the name uncultured bacterium. Its description in RNAcentral is "partial 16S ribosomal RNA". It matches the Rfam family "Bacterial small subunit ribosomal RNA", at positions 28 to 507 of the family's 1533-position model. The record is from RNAcentral.